RNAcentral lists this transfer RNA (61 nucleotides) under Belyta sp. ZJUH_2016005. RNAcentral's name for it is "tRNA-Tyr". The record is from RNAcentral. Lineage: Eukaryota; Metazoa; Arthropoda; Insecta; Hymenoptera; Diapriidae.
AGUAAUGUAUCUUUAAAGAUUUAAAUUGUAAAUUUAAAUAAAGAUUAAAUUCUCUUUACUA